This 435-nucleotide ribosomal RNA is filed under the name Parasigara sp. RNAcentral describes it as "partial large subunit ribosomal RNA". It matches the Rfam family "Archaeal large subunit ribosomal RNA", at positions 1921 to 2592 of the family's 2987-position model. The record is from RNAcentral. Lineage: Eukaryota; Metazoa; Arthropoda; Insecta; Hemiptera; Corixidae.
GUCCUUUUGAUUUUUAUUUAAGGUCUAACCUGCCCACUGAUUUAUUUAAUGGCCGCGGUAUUCUGACCGUGCAAAGGUAGCAUAAUAAUUUGUCUUUUAAUUGAAGGCUUGUAUGAAUGGUUGGACGAGAAAGCUUCUUUCUUUAUAAUAGAUUUAUGAAUUUUAUUUUUUAGUUAAAAAGCUAAAAUGUAAUUGUAGGACGAGAAGACCCUAUAGAACUUUAUAAUUAUUAUUACAUUAAUAUUUUUAGAUUAUCAUGAUAUUAUUUGAUAAUAAUUAUUUUGUUGGGGCGACAAGAAAAUUUAUUUAACUUUUUUAAUUAAUUUCAUUAAUUAAUGUAUAUAUGAUCCUUUAUUAAGGACAGUUAGAAUAAGUUACCUUAGGGAUAACAGCGUAAUUUUUUUGGAGAGUUCUUAUCGAUAAAAAAGUUUGCGA